This is a ribosomal RNA of Chelonoidis abingdonii (Abingdon island giant tortoise), 89 nucleotides long. The record is from Ensembl. Lineage: Eukaryota; Metazoa; Chordata; Testudines; Testudinidae.
GGCUGUGACCUUAUCAGCACUAAGUAGAGUCAGGUCUGAUUAGUACUUGGAUGAGAGACCUCCAAAGAAAAUCUAAGAUGUUGCAAGUG